RNAcentral lists this ribosomal RNA (518 nucleotides) under uncultured bacterium. Its description in RNAcentral is "partial 16S ribosomal RNA". It matches the Rfam family "Bacterial small subunit ribosomal RNA", at positions 899 to 1397 of the family's 1533-position model. The record is from RNAcentral.
ACUCAAAUGAAUUGACGGGGACUUGCACAAGUAGUGGAUUAUGUGGUUUAAUUCGACGAUAAACGAAGAACCUUACCAAGGUUAGAAAUCAACGUGAAAGCCCCGAGAAACCGGGGCCCUCGCAAGACUAGUUGACAGGUGAUGCAUGGCCGUCGUCAGUUCGUGGUUUGAAUUGUUCCCUUAAGUGGGGUAACGAACGCAACCCUCGUCGUGUGUUAUAAGUGUCACACGAGACUGCCCCGACCCAAGGAUAUAAUUAUUUAUAAUUGUCUCUUUCGGUCGGGGAGGAAGGGGAGGAUGACGCCAGGUCAGCAUGUCCCUUGAUACCUUGGGCUACACACAUAAUACAAUCGCAAUUACAACGGGCAGCGACGGGGUAACCCUGAGCGAAUCCUUUAAAAAUUGCGCCAGUUCGGAUUGGGGGCUGCAACUCGACCCCAUGAAGUUGGAAUUACUAGUAAUCGCGGGUCAGACAUACCGCGGUGAAUACGUUCUCAAGUCUUGUACACACCGCCCGU